GACGAACGCUGGCGGCGUGCCUAAUACAUGCAAGUUGAGCGCUGAAGGUUGGUACUUGUACCAACUGGAUGAGCAGCGCACGGGUGAGUAACGCGUGGGGAAUCUGCCUUUGAGCGGGGGACAACAUUUGGAAACGAAUGCUAAUACCGCAUAAAAACUUUAAACACAAGUUUUAAGUUUGAAAGAUGCAAUUGCAUCACUCAAAGAUGAUCCCGCGUUGUAUUAGCUAGUUGGUGAGGUAAAGGCUCACCAAGGCGAUGAUACAUAGCCGACCUGAGAGGGUGAUCGGCCACAUUGGGACUGAGACACGGCCCAAACUCCUACGGGAGGCAGCAGUAGGGAAUCUUCGGCAAUGGACGAAAGUCUGACCGAGCAACGCCGCGUGAGUGAAGAAGGUUUUCGGAUCGUAAAACUCUGUUGGUAGAGAAGAACGUUGGUGAGAGUGGAAAGCUCAUUAAGUGACGGUAACUACCCAGAAAGGGACGGCUAACUACGUG
Molecule: ribosomal RNA, 497 nt
Filed under: uncultured bacterium
Lineage: Bacteria
Description: partial 16S ribosomal RNA
Rfam family: Bacterial small subunit ribosomal RNA
Source: RNAcentral